RNAcentral lists this ribosomal RNA (443 nucleotides) under uncultured bacterium. Its description in RNAcentral is "partial 16S ribosomal RNA". It matches the Rfam family "Bacterial small subunit ribosomal RNA", at positions 338 to 795 of the family's 1533-position model. The record is from RNAcentral.
CCUACGGGUGGCAGCAGUGGGGAAUAUUGGGCAAUGGGCGCAAGCCUGACCCAGCAACGCCGCGUGAAGGAAGAAGGCUUUCGGGUUGUAAAAUUCUUUUCUCAGGGACGAAGCAAGUGACGGUACCUGAUGAAUAAGCCACGGCUAACUACUUGCCAGAAGCCGCGGUAAUACGUAGGUGGCAAGCGUCAUCCGGAUUUACUGGGUGUAAAGGGCGUGUAGGCGGGACUGCAAGUCAGAUGUGAAAACCGCGGGCGCAACCUGUGGCCUGCAUUUGAAACUGUAGUUCUUGAGUACUGGAGAGGCAGACGGAAUUCCUAGUGUAGCGGUGAAAUGCGUAGAUAUUAGGAGGAACACCAGUGGCGAAGGCGGUCUGCUGGACAGCAACUGACGCUGAGGCGCGAAAGCGUGGGGAGCAAACAGGAUUAGAUACCCCAGUAGUC